GGGGUUGUAGUUCAGCGGUCAGAGCGUCUGUUUGUCGAACAGAAAGUCGCGGGUUCAAAUCCCGUCAGCCCCG
Molecule: transfer RNA, 73 nt
Filed under: Cyanobacteria bacterium SBLK
Lineage: Bacteria; Bacillati; Cyanobacteriota
Description: tRNA-Asp
Rfam family: tRNA
About the family: Transfer RNA (tRNA) molecules are approximately 80 nucleotides in length. Their secondary structure includes four short double-helical elements and three loops (D, anti-codon, and T loops).
Source: RNAcentral